GUCGAACGCUGGCGGCAUGCUUUACACAUGCAAGUCGAACGGCAGCGCGGGCUUUGGCCUGGCGGCGAGCGGCGAACGGGUGAGUAAUACAUCGGAACGCGCCCACUAGUAGGGGAUAGCCCGGCGAAAGCCGGAUCAAUACCGCAUACGACCCGCGGGAGAAAGCGGGGGAUCUUCGGACCUCGCGCUACUGGAGUGGCCGAUGGCAGAUUAGGUAGUUGGGGGGGUAAAGGCCUACCAAGGCGACGAUCUGCAGCUGGGUUGGGAGGACCGCCAGCCACACUGGGGCUGGGGAACGGCCCCAGCUCCUACGGGAGGCCGGAGGGGGGAAAUUUGGCGCAAUGGCGGAAACCUGAUCCAACAAAGCCCCGUGUGUGAUGAAGGCCUUCGGGUUGUAAAGCACUUUUGGGGGGGACGAAAAGUACGGUGCGAAUAGCACGGUUCGAUGACGGUACCCGCAGAAUAAGCCCCGGCUAACUACGUG
This 484-nucleotide ribosomal RNA is filed under the name uncultured bacterium. RNAcentral describes it as "partial 16S ribosomal RNA". It matches the Rfam family "Bacterial small subunit ribosomal RNA", at positions 28 to 507 of the family's 1533-position model. The record is from RNAcentral.